GAUGAACGCUGGCGGCGUGCCUAAUACAUGCAAGUCGAGCGAACAGACGAGGAGCUUGCUCCUCUGACGUUAGCGGCGGACGGGUGAGUAACACGUGGAUAACCUACCUAUAAGACUUGGAUAACUUCGGGAAACCGGAGUUAAUACCGGAUAAUAUAUUGAACCUCAUGGUUCAAUAGUGAAAGACGGUUUUGCUGUCACUUAUAGAUGGAUCCGCGCCUCAUUAGCUAGUUGGUAAGGUAACGGCUUACCAAGGCAACGAUGCGUAGCCGACCUGAGAGGGUGAACGGCCACACUGGAACUGAGACACGGUCCAGACUCCUACGGGAGGCAGCAGUAGGGAAUCUUACGCAAGGGGCGAAAGCCUGACGGAGCAAAGCCGCGUGAGUGAUGAAGGUCUUCGGAUCGUAAAACUCUGUUAUUAGGGAAGAACAAAUGUGUAAGUAACUAUGAACGUCUUGACGGUACCUAAUCAGAAAGCCACGGCUAACUACGUG
RNAcentral lists this ribosomal RNA (497 nucleotides) under uncultured bacterium. RNAcentral describes it as "partial 16S ribosomal RNA". It matches the Rfam family "Bacterial small subunit ribosomal RNA", at positions 28 to 507 of the family's 1533-position model. The record is from RNAcentral.